This 685-nucleotide ribosomal RNA is filed under the name uncultured Actinomycetes bacterium. RNAcentral's name for it is "bacterial SSU rRNA". It matches the Rfam family "Bacterial small subunit ribosomal RNA", at positions 59 to 761 of the family's 1533-position model. The record is from RNAcentral. Lineage: Bacteria; Bacillati; Actinomycetota; Actinomycetes.
AAGUCGAACGAUGAAACCGCCCUCGGGCGGACAUGAAGUGGCGAACGGGUGAGUAACACGUGACCAACCUGCCCCUUGCUCCGGGACAACCUUGGGAAACCGAGGCUAAUACCGGAUACUCCUCGCCCCCCUCCUGGGGGGCCCGAGAAAGCCCAGACGGCAAGGGAUGGGGUCGCGGCCCAUUAGGUAGUAGGCGGGGUAACGGCCCACCUAGCCCGCGAUGGGUAGCCGGGUUGAGAGACCGACCGGCCACAUUGGGACUGAGAUACGGCCCAGACUCCUACGGGAGGCAGCAGUGGGGAAUUUUGCGCAAUGGGGGAAACCCUGACGCAGCAACGCCGCGUGCGGGACGACGGCCUUCGGGUUGUAAACCGCUUUCAGCAGGGAAGAAAUUCGACGGUACCUGCAGAAGAAGCUCCGGCUAACUACGUGCCAGCAGCCGCGGUAAUACGUAGGGAGCGAGCGUUAUCCGGAUUCAUUGGGCGUAAAGAGCGCGUAGGCGGCCUCUCAAGCGGGAUCUCUAAUCCGAGGGCUCAACCCCCGGCCGGAUCCCGAACUGGGAGGCUCGAGUUCGGUAGAGGCAGGCGGAAUUCCCGGUGUAGCGGUGGAAUGCGCAGAUAUCGGGAAGAACACCGAUGGCGAAGGCAGCCUGCUGGGCCGCAACUGACGCUGAGGCGCGAAAGCU